UAGACAUUGCAAAAGAGUUCUUUCACUUGCCUAGCAAAGAGAAGAUGCAAUUUGCUUCAGCUAAUGUUCGUGAGCCUGUUAGAUAUGGCACUAGUAUGAAUCAUGGGACAGAUAAGAUGUUUUUUUGGAGAGAUUUCAUCAAGCAUUAUGCAAAUCCCAUCUCAGAAUGGAUCCAAUUAUGGCCUUCAAACCCUCCAACUUACAGGUAAAACUACCAAUACACAUUCUUCUAUAACACAAAAGAAUACGAGUCUAUAAACUACAUCCAUGCUAUAAAAUUUGAGGUCGACUGGAACAUAUAUUGACAAUAUUUAUUGGUUUUGAGUGUUUUACUAACCUUAGUGACUUAAUUUGUGCAGAGAAAAAAUGGGAAGCUAUGCAAAAGCAGUGCACAUAUUGCAAAAGCAAUUAAUGGCAAUAGUUCUUGAAAACCUAGGCUUGAAUGCAAACUACUUGCAUGAUGAGAUUGAAAAAGGUUCUCAAGCCAUAACUGUAAACUGCUACCCACCAUGCCCAAAACCAGAUCUUACACUCGGGAUCCCACCACACUCGGAUUAUGGAACCCUAACAAUCCUAAACCAAAACCAACAAGGACUCCAAAUCAUGGACAAAGAUAGAAAAUGGCACUCUGUACCAUUUAUACAAGGAGCAUUAACAGUUCAAUUAGGAGAUCAAAUUGAAGUGAUGAGCAAUGGUAGAUACAAGAGUACUUUUCAUCGAGCAACUGUGAACAACAAGAGGAAUCGAUUAUCGAUUGCUAGUCUUCAUAGUCUGCCAAUCGAGAAGAAGGUAGGGCCCGCACCACAGCUCGUUGAUGAACAGUAUCCCAUAGCCUACAGAGAGGGAAGCUUUGGUGAAUUUCUUGAUCAUAUCUCUAAGAAAUGUCUAUCAGAAACUAGGUACAUAGACACAUUGAGAAUUCUGUGAAAGAUGAUAUGGUUUCAGAACAAUAUGAGCAUGUAUCAAGCAACUCCCCAUACACCUCCUGUUAUCGUGGUUACUUUAGAAUAUGAAAUUAACGAAGAUAUCCAACAUGUUUGUAAAAGAAUAAGCAUAUAUAAUGCAUAUCUAGCAUUCGUUUAAAAUGUCCUACUAAUUGGUAGCUUACUUCGUCUAUAAUCUAUUUACAUAAAGAUUUUGUUUGUCCUCAGUGAUAUCAUUCGGUGCAUAUAUGCCUAGCAAACUUCCUGUACUAUUACAUUAAUCAGAGUAAUUUUAAUCAUUCCAUCAGUGCAUAUUCUGCUUUCUAGCACGAGAUCUAGUUAUAAUUAAUUGUUUCCAAGUAAUUUAAUAUACCUAUUUAGCUAAUCGCGGCGUAAUCACUUUAUCGCAAUUCUUUUAGAAGAUCUUAUAUUAAUCAAAAAGAGGCUGAUCUGGACUAUGAAUCAGUUUCAGUCAACCAUAAUACAUCUGAAAGUUUAGAUAUCAAAAUCUAGAUCAUAACUACCAAAAUUGAUUCGAUUCGUUUGAAAAACUUUAGCUAAAAAACUAGAAGUCAGAUUAAGAUCUUACAAAAGAAGCGUUCGGAAUUAUAAGAUAUGAUGAUGGAUAACUUACACAGAGCUACGUUAUUAACGUUAAUCAUGCAUAUUCUCUGUGCUGCCUCCGGCGACUGCUUCUCACGCGCAGCCGCCUUGAGUGUCAAAUCGUUAUUUGGCAAGAAACACCUGUCAUUAGCCAUGACGAUGGCUCGAAUGGGUCCCGCAGUUGCAUAUCAUAUCUUCGGAAGAUCGAGAAGCUUAAUGGGGC
RNAcentral lists this long non-coding RNA (1749 nucleotides) under Lactuca sativa (garden lettuce). RNAcentral describes it as "long non-coding RNA (LSAT_LNC003501)". Lineage: Eukaryota; Viridiplantae; Streptophyta; Magnoliopsida; Asterales; Asteraceae. The record is from RNAcentral.